GAUGCAUCAGUUGGUGAUAUCUGCUAGUGUGCUUGGUCAUACACUGGAGACCCUUCUGUCUUUUCAGCGCCUUUACAUCACUUCCAUCAAUGGCUGCUCUAGUGCUCUUGUCAGCAUCCUGGAUCCCUUCGUCCCAGGCUCCUAGUUGGGCUGGACUCGUGAGAGAGGCUGGCUAUAUGAAAGAUCACGGUAACCAGCUUGCAAGCUGAAUUGUGCUAACUGAGAAGCUUUGUUCUGCAAUUAUCUCGUGAACCUGUCAGCUCUGUGGCUGGUGCUUUCAUGCUGCUGCUCACCAUAUCACAAAAAACGCAGUCUUAAAACAGCUUCAUUUGAUGCCCUCAAGUGGUGACACUGUGUACUGGUGUAUAUAAAUUAAGAGUGCACAGAUGAAACGGUAGCAGUCAGAAAAAUUCAUUAAAUACUUGGCAGCCCGAGUGACAAAAAUGCCAGAGUCUAAAAUUCCUUGCUCUGCCAUGUGCUCUCUGUGUGGCCUUGGCAAUAGAGUAUUAUUCAUUAUUUCUGUUACCACAUGGCCUAGGAUCCUUGAGUAUCUUGGUUUUCUCAUCUACAAAAUGCAGGUUGUGCCUCCUUGCCUUGGCAGAUGUCGUGAGUGUAAAUGUAUUAAUAUGAGUAAGCUGCUUGGAUACUGAAAUGACAGGGAACCAUAAAAAGGGACAGAACCAGCAGGGGGUGGGGGAAUGGACUGAA
Gavialis gangeticus (Gharial) is the source of this 708-nucleotide long non-coding RNA. RefSeq lists it as uncharacterized. The record is from RefSeq and is a predicted model, not a curated record. Lineage: Eukaryota; Metazoa; Chordata; Crocodylia; Gavialidae. The transcript is spliced from 2 exons.